UACGGAGGGUGCGAGCGUUAUCCGGAAUUAUUGGGCGUAAAGGGCGCGUAGGCGGCCUGGCAAGUGGAAGGUGAAAUCCCUCGGCUUAACCGAGGAACUGCCCUCCAAACUGCUUGGCUUGAGUCCGGGAGAGGUGAGUGGAAUUCCCAGUGUAGCGGUGAAAUGCGUAGAUAUUGGGAGGAACACCAGUGGCGAAGGCGGCUCACUGGACCGGAACUGACGCUGAGGCGCGAAAGCGUGGGGAGCAAACAGG
This 253-nucleotide ribosomal RNA is filed under the name uncultured bacterium. RNAcentral describes it as "partial 16S ribosomal RNA". It matches the Rfam family "Bacterial small subunit ribosomal RNA", at positions 524 to 776 of the family's 1533-position model. The record is from RNAcentral.